RNAcentral lists this ribosomal RNA (465 nucleotides) under uncultured Klebsiella sp. RNAcentral describes it as "bacterial SSU rRNA". It matches the Rfam family "Bacterial small subunit ribosomal RNA", at positions 338 to 795 of the family's 1533-position model. The record is from RNAcentral. Lineage: Bacteria; Pseudomonadati; Pseudomonadota; Gammaproteobacteria; Enterobacterales; Enterobacteriaceae.
CCUACGGGCGGCUGCAGUGGGGAAUAUUGCACAAUGGGCGCAAGCCUGAUGCAGCCGUGCCGCGUGUGUGAAGAAGGCCUUCGGGUUGUAAAGCACUUUCAGCGGGGAGGAAGGCGUUAAGGUUAAUAACCUUGGCGAUUGACGUUACCCGCAGAAGAAGCACCGGCUAACUCCGUGCCAGCAGCCGCGGUAAUACGGAGGGUGCAAGCGUUAAUCGGAAUUACUGGGCGUAAAGCGCACGCAGGCGGUCUGUCAAGUCGGAUGUGAAAUCCCCGGGCUCAACCUGGGAACUGCAUUCGAAACUGGCAGGCUAGAGUCUUGUAGAGGGGGGUAGAAUUCCAGGUGUAGCGGUGAAAUGCGUAGAGAUCUGGAGGAAUACCGGUGGCGAAGGCGGCCCCCUGGACAAAGACUGACGCUCAGGUGCGAAAGCGUGGGGAGCAAACAGGAUUAGAUACCCCUGUAGUC